RNAcentral lists this ribosomal RNA (253 nucleotides) under uncultured bacterium. RNAcentral describes it as "partial 16S ribosomal RNA". It matches the Rfam family "Bacterial small subunit ribosomal RNA", at positions 524 to 776 of the family's 1533-position model. The record is from RNAcentral.
GACAGAGGGUGCAAACGUUGUUCGGAAUUACUGGGCGUAAAGCGCGUGUAGGCGGCCUUGCAAGUCGGAUGUGAAAGCCCUCGGCUCAACCGGGGAAGUGCACUCGAAACUGCAAGGCUGGAGUCCCGGAGAGGAUAGUGGAAUUCCCAGUGUAGAGGUGAAAUUCGUAGAUAUUGGGAAGAACACCGGUGGCGAAGGCGGCUCACUGGCUCGUAACUGACGCUCAUGCACGACAGCGUGGGGAUCAAACAGG